UAAACAAUAUAUGGUAACUGU
This 21-nucleotide non-coding RNA is filed under the name Caenorhabditis elegans. The record is from RNAcentral. Lineage: Eukaryota; Metazoa; Nematoda; Chromadorea; Rhabditida; Rhabditidae.